RNAcentral lists this ribosomal RNA (497 nucleotides) under uncultured bacterium. RNAcentral's name for it is "partial 16S ribosomal RNA". It matches the Rfam family "Bacterial small subunit ribosomal RNA", at positions 28 to 507 of the family's 1533-position model. The record is from RNAcentral.
GACGAACGCUGGCGGCGUGCCUAAUACAUGCAAGUAGAACGCUGAAGAGAGGAGCUUGCUCUUCUUGGAUGAGUUGCGAACGGGUGAGUAACGCGUAGGUAACCUGCCUUGUAGCGGGGGAUAACUAUUGGAAACGAUAGCUAAUACCGCAUAACAAUGGAUGACACAUGUCAUUUAUUUGAAAGGGGCAAUUGCUCCACUACAAGAUGGACCUGCGUUGUAUUAGCUAGUAGGUGAGGUAAUGGCUCACCUAGGCGACGAUACAUAGCCGACCUGAGAGGGGGAUCGGCCAAACUGGGACGGAGACACGGCCCAGACUCCUACGGGAGGCAGCAGUAGGGAAUCUUCGGCAAUGGGGGCAACCCUGACCGAGCAACGCCGCGUGAGUGAAGAAGGUUUUCGGAUCGUAAAGCUCUGUUGUAAGUCAAGAACGGGUGUGAGAGUGGAAAGUUCACACUGUGACGGUAGCUGACCAGAAAGGGACGGCUAACUACGUG